RNAcentral lists this non-coding RNA (148 nucleotides) under Gorilla gorilla gorilla (western lowland gorilla). Lineage: Eukaryota; Metazoa; Chordata; Mammalia; Primates; Hominidae. The record is from Rfam by way of RNAcentral.
GCCAAGUGUGGUGGCUCACACCUGUAAUCCCAGCUACUUGGGAGGCUGAGGCAGGAGGAUCACUGGAGCCUAGGAGUUCAAGGCUGCAAUGAGCUAUGAUUGCACCACUGCACUCCAGCCUAGGUGACAGAGUGACACCCUGUCUCUA